This 502-nucleotide long non-coding RNA is filed under the name Marmota monax (woodchuck). Lineage: Eukaryota; Metazoa; Chordata; Mammalia; Rodentia; Sciuridae. The record is from RNAcentral.
AUUUUUGUGUGAAUUUUUCUAAGAUGUACAAAAAAACUACCUCUUUUGGAUUACUUUAUAUGAAUCUGUAGUUUUGAGAGGAACAGAAAUGUUGGUGUCUACAUUAUGGCCCCAUGCUAUUCAUGCAUUCACAGACUCUCAUUCUAGGCUUCAAUGAAAAUUGUAAAUGUUUGCUACUGCCUUUAUACGGACUCAGAUAGCUCUUUUCCCUGAUAAUUUGCAACUUCUAAAAUGUAACCAUACAUUUGCAAAUCAUAUCUAAAACUAGAAUAAAUAAGCCUUGAAUGAAGGCAUAUAAGAAAAAUAUGUGAGAUUCUUGUAUACUAACCAAAAGCUUCUCUAUUAGGGGCCCUGAGGUAUUUCGCUUUCCCCUCCUAUUGCUUCUUUAUUUUCAGUAAAAGUGCUUUUGGAUAAGCGAGGUAUUACCUUCCUUACCCUUCUCUGCCUAUAAAAUCUUGAAAUAUUUUGUUUGUUUCAAUAUUUUGGCUUUUGACUAUUAGGC